GAUGAACGCUAGCUACAGGCUUAACACAUGCAAGUCGAGGGGAAACGAUAUUGGAAGCUUGCUUCCGAUAGGCGUCGACCGGCGCACGGGUGAGUAACGCGUAUCCAACCGGCCCAUCACUUUGGGAUAACCUUGCGAAAGUAAGAAUAAUACCCAAUGACGUCUCUAGAAGACAUCUGAAAGAGAUUAAAGAUUUAUCGGUGAUGGAAGGGGAAGCGUCUGAUUAGCUUGUUGGCGGGGUAACGGCCCACCAAGGCGACGAUCAGUAGGGGGUCUGAGAGGAAGGUCCCCCACAUUGGAACUGAGACACGGUCCAAACUCCUACGGGAGGCAGCAGUGAGGAAUAUUGGUCAAUGGGCGAGAGCCUGAACCAGCCAAGUAGCGUGCAGGAUGACGGCCCUAUGGGUUGUAAUCUGCUUUUAUAAGGGAAUAAAGUGGGAGUCGUGACUCCUUUUGCAUGUACCUUAUGAAUAAGGACCGGCCAAUUCCGUGCCAGCCGCCGCGGUAA
This 508-nucleotide ribosomal RNA is filed under the name uncultured bacterium. RNAcentral's name for it is "partial 16S ribosomal RNA". It matches the Rfam family "Bacterial small subunit ribosomal RNA", at positions 28 to 523 of the family's 1533-position model. The record is from RNAcentral.